RNAcentral lists this non-coding RNA (128 nucleotides) under Metschnikowia bicuspidata var. bicuspidata NRRL YB-4993. RNAcentral describes it as "Eukaryotic large subunit ribosomal RNA". It matches the Rfam family "Eukaryotic large subunit ribosomal RNA", at positions 2193 to 2324 of the family's 3401-position model. The record is from Rfam by way of RNAcentral. Lineage: Eukaryota; Fungi; Ascomycota; Pichiomycetes; Serinales; Metschnikowiaceae.
GAUUUCUGCCCAGUGCUCUGAAUGUCAAAGGAAAUUCAACCAUGCGCGUGAAAACGCCGGGGGUAUUUAUGACUCUCUUAAGGUAGUCAAAUACCUCGUCAUCUAGCUAGUGACGCGCAUGAAUGGAU